This 705-nucleotide long non-coding RNA is filed under the name Chrysemys picta bellii (western painted turtle). Its description in RNAcentral is "lncRNA (ENSCPBG00000025826.1)". Lineage: Eukaryota; Metazoa; Chordata; Testudines; Emydidae. The record is from RNAcentral.
GAGGACGGGUCAUCCUCCUCUUUAUAACAACUUUAAAGAGAAGCUGAGAUCCGUGCUCAGGAUGCAGAGGAGAGAUCAGAAAGUCUGGAUGAGCAUCUGGAAGAAGCUCUGGGGAGAAUCCAGGAUCUAGAGAAACAGCUGGAAAAAGCACUCAAAGCCCAGGAAGUAGCACCAAAACCAGAAGUCCCUUCCCAAGAAGAAUCCAAGCCAACUUCUCAUAAACCAUCUGCCGCUGCCCGGUCCAGGAAAACCAGCAGACCCAAACAUUAAAGAGUAGCAAUGCCCAGCGAAAGUCGUUUGGUUCCCAUUUGUAGUAGACUUUCAGCAUAACACUGCCCAUCUCUGGGGCUCCAGAUACACUUUAAUUCCAAGUUCUUUAGUAUAGCAAAAUGACUGGAACACCCUCUAAUGCACCCUCCCAAGGAGAGCUUUAGACAAAGCACUGGAGAGGAUCUUUUCUUGGUUUAUAAAUUAUCUGAAAACCUCACGCUGGGUAAUGCAGUGUUUUAGUGUAGUUGCCAGUCAUAAGUGGAGACUGGACUAGAACAGAACUUGUAGAAAAGGCUUUCAGGCCUUCUCAAUGUAUCUGUUAGUAGAGUCUUUUAAGAGAUCAGGUCAUAAACUUAUCACAGGCUAGCUGUACUGCCUCAGUUGGAACUUUGGGAUAAAUUGUCCAGAUCUCAGAUCCAUUCAUAAGUGCUCAGC